Non-coding RNA from Megalopta genalis, 1271 nucleotides. NCBI's taxonomy places the organism in Eukaryota, Metazoa, Arthropoda, Insecta, Hymenoptera, Halictidae. The record is from RefSeq and is a predicted model, not a curated record.
AUUAGAGCGUCACCUUUCUGUAAUCGAUGCACCUUGCAGCCGUGGUUUCAUUCACCCUGCAACGACGCACAGUGCUACCUUCUCCUACAGAGGACAGAAUGCCCUUUCGCGAACAAAAUUGUCGGGAAAAAUGCGACUUUUAGAUUAGAGAGACGGAACUGAGACGAAAAGGAAGAAAAGAAUUGGUAAAAUCGUGGUAGCAAAUCUUCUCUGAAACGUCCGUAAAAAGCACACGAAGUCGGAAGAAUUUGGUCAAUAAUAAGGGGGUUCUUACGUUUCAGAGGAAGAAAAUAAGGGUCGUAUAGCUCGUGAGCCGGAGGUAACGUGGGAACAGCUGUUGGUUAGGUGUGGAGGAAAAGCAGAUGGGAGGGAAACUUGGAGCAGAGUGAGGGUGUUAAGAGCACGCCUCGUUCAGAAUCCGGAUGCUGGGAUUGAUGAUUGAGAAAGGCGAGCACUUGGAAUUUUGCGCGACACAGUGCGUGCUUCUUACUACACGACUAUGGUAGAUGCGAGAAUUUCUUGAGGAGUUCGCAAGGAUUAAGAGAGGAUUAAAGUCUAGAGCUUUAGUAGGAUCGUCUACAGUUGCCCAAGCAUCUGGGAACCGGACAAACGAACCGAGCGCAACGAUAUGAAAUAAAUUCGCAAGUUCCUGGGACAGAAGGUUCGCCGGAAAUAUUUUCCCCAUUGAAAGUCCCGGCAAGCUCAAGAUUCCCCCGUAUAUAUCCUUGACUUCUCUUGCUGUGUUUCUAUUACUUCUCUAUCCGCUGUAUCCAUUAGCCCCUACCCCGGAGAAGGUUCCCGGGGCAGAUGCGGCACUUCUGGUCGGGCUGUCUUAUUUAUUUUAUUUUAUCGAUUCCCGAUAGUCACGAAACAACGGCUUUGUAGCGGCGUCUUUAUUAUUACCCGCGGGGUAAUAGAGAACUCCAGUUGCAUGAGUUUCUUCUAGUCCACGCCUUCAUUACGUCGCUGAUCUAUAGGGGAUCGCGGAUCCGCGGGCCUCACAAUUGAACUCCUCGAAAAUUGCCUAGACGGCUCGAGGUUUUCAUUAGAUGAGCCAAAUGGAGCUAUAGCGCUUCAAUCAGCUGUCGAAGACAGCCUACACCCAUCUUCGGAUGUUUGAUGAUAUUAAACGUACAGUGUACGGCCCUUAUGAGUGUUCGGGACAAAACCCAUAACGUCUGGACCAGUGAACAACCAGUGAAUUUUCAACAUAAGUACCCUGUAACACUUUUUUAAGAGAAAUACAUCGAUACGCCGAUUAAUACAAAAGA